RNAcentral lists this ribosomal RNA (225 nucleotides) under uncultured bacterium. Its description in RNAcentral is "partial 16S ribosomal RNA". It matches the Rfam family "Bacterial small subunit ribosomal RNA", at positions 335 to 580 of the family's 1533-position model. The record is from RNAcentral.
ACUCCUACGGGAGGCAGCAGUGGGAAUCUUGGACAAUGGGGCACCGUAGCUCCAGCCAUGCCGCGUGAGUGAUGAAGGCCCUAGGGUCGUAAAGCUCUUUCGCCUGUGAAGAUAAUGACUGUAGCAGGUAAAGAACCCCGCGUACAUCCGUGCCAGCAGCCGCGGUAAUACGGAGGGGGUUAGCGUUGUUCGGAAUUACUGGGCGUAAAGCGCGCGUAGGCGGAC